AAUCAACGCUGGCGGCGUGCCUCAGACAUGCAAGUCGAACGAUUAAAGCUCUCUUCGGAGAGUGCAUAAAGUGGCGCACGGGUGAGUAACACGUAAGUAAUCUACCUUCGAGUGGGGAAUAACGUCCGGAAACGGACGCUAAUACCGCAUAAUGCAGCGGCAUCGCAAGAUGACAGUUGUUAAAGAUUUAUCGCUUGAAGAGGAGCUUGCGGCAGAUUAGCUAGUUGGUAAGGUAAUGGCUUACCAAGGCUACGAUCUGUAACCGGUCUAAGAGGACGGUCGGUCACACUGACACUGAAUAACGGGUCAGACUCCUACGGGAGGCAGCAGUCGGGAAUUUUGGGCAAUGGGCGAAAGCCUGACCCCAGCAACGCCGCGUGAAGGAUGAAGUAUUUCGGU
Molecule: ribosomal RNA, 399 nt
Filed under: uncultured bacterium
Lineage: Bacteria
Description: bacterial SSU rRNA
Rfam family: Bacterial small subunit ribosomal RNA
Source: RNAcentral